This 398-nucleotide ribosomal RNA is filed under the name uncultured bacterium. Its description in RNAcentral is "partial 16S ribosomal RNA". It matches the Rfam family "Bacterial small subunit ribosomal RNA", at positions 523 to 918 of the family's 1533-position model. The record is from RNAcentral.
CUACGUAGGGUGCGAGCGUUGUCCGGAAUUACUGGGCGUAAAGAGCUCGUAGGUGGUUUGUCGCGUCGUCUGUGAAAUUCCGGGGCUUAACUCCGGGCGUGCAGGCGAUACGGGCAUAACUUGAGUACUGUAGGGGAGACUGGAAUUCCUGGUGUAGCGGUGAAAUGCGCAGAUAUCAGGAGGAACACCGGUGGCGAAGGCGGGUCUCUGGGCAGUAACUGACGCUGAGGGGCGAAAGCAUGGGUAGCGAACAGGAUUAGAUACCCUGGUAGUCCAUGCCGUAAACGGUGGGCGCUAGGUGUAGGGGUCUUCCACGACUUCUGUGCCGUAGCUAACGCAUUAAGCGCCCCGCCUGGGGAGUACGGCCGCAAGGCUAAAACUCAAAUGAAUUGACGGGG